This 409-nucleotide ribosomal RNA is filed under the name uncultured bacterium. RNAcentral describes it as "bacterial SSU rRNA". It matches the Rfam family "Bacterial small subunit ribosomal RNA", at positions 100 to 507 of the family's 1533-position model. The record is from RNAcentral.
CACGGGGUGAGUAACACGUAUGUAAUCUGCCUGUAACAGGGGGAUAACCCCGGAGAAAUUCGGACUAAUACCCCAUAAUAUCAAAAUGUUGCAUGAAAUUUUGAUUAAAGGAUUCCGGUUACAGAUGAGCAUGCGUAUCAUUAGCUAGUUGGUAGAGUAACGGCCUACCAAGGCAACGAUGAUUAGGGGUUCUGAGAGGAAGAUCCCCCACACUGGUACUGAGACACGGACCAGACUCCUACGGGAGGCAGCAGUGAGGAAUAUUGGUCAAUGGUCGGAAGACUGAACCAGCCAAGUAGCGUGAAGGAUGAAGGUUCUAUGGAUUGUAAACUUCUUUUAUACGGGAAUAAAACCACCUACGUGUAGGUGCUUGUAUGUACCGUAUGAAUAAGCAUCGGCUAACUCCGUG